GCCGAUGUAGCUCAGCUGGUAGAGCAAUUGAUUCGUAAUCAAUAGGUCGGCGGUUCAAAUCCGCUCAUCGGCUCCA
RNAcentral lists this transfer RNA (76 nucleotides) under Candidatus Babelota bacterium. RNAcentral describes it as "tRNA-Thr". It matches the Rfam family "tRNA". Rfam says of the family: Transfer RNA (tRNA) molecules are approximately 80 nucleotides in length. Their secondary structure includes four short double-helical elements and three loops (D, anti-codon, and T loops). Further hydrogen bonds mediate the characteristic L-shaped molecular structure. tRNAs have two regions of fundamental functional importance: the anti-codon, which is responsible for specific mRNA codon recognition, and the 3' end, to which the tRNAs corresponding amino acid is attached (by aminoacyl-tRNA synthetases). tRNAs cope with the degeneracy of the genetic code in two manners: having more than one tRNA (with a specific anti-codon) for a particular amino acid; and 'wobble' base-pairing, i.e. permitting non-standard base-pairing at the 3rd anti-codon position. RNAcentral also lists the same sequence under 1 other name. The record is from RNAcentral.